UACGUAGGUGGCAAGCGUUGUCCGGAUUUACUGGGCGUAAAGGGCGUGCAGGCGGUCUGUUAAGUGCAGGGUGAAAGCUCCCGGCUCAACUGGGAGAGGUCCUUGCAUACUGGCGGACUUGAGGGGGGUAGAGGAAAGUGGAAUUCCCGGUGUAGUGGUGAUAUGCGUAGAUAUCGGGAGGAACACCUGUGGCGAAGGCGGCUUUCUGGGCCCUACCUGGACGCUGAGACGGCGAAAGCGUGGGGAGCGAACCGGG
This 256-nucleotide ribosomal RNA is filed under the name uncultured bacterium. RNAcentral describes it as "partial 16S ribosomal RNA". It matches the Rfam family "Bacterial small subunit ribosomal RNA", at positions 524 to 777 of the family's 1533-position model. The record is from RNAcentral.